CCUANGGGGGGCUGCAGUGAGGAAUAUUGCACAAUGGGCGAAAGCCUGAUGCAGCGACGCCGCGUGGAGGAUGACGGUCUUCGGAUUGUAAACUCCUGUUAAGUGUGAAAAAAGACUCGUUUUUAAUAGAAACGAGGGAUGAUGGUAACACUAGAGAAAGCACCGGCUAACUUCGUGCCAGCAGCCGCGGUAAUACGAGGGGUGCAAACGUUAUUCGGAAUCACUGGGCGUAAAGGGUGCGUAGAUGGCAAGAUAAGUCAAUUAUUAAAUCUCCUAGCUUAACUAGGAAUCUGUGGUUGAAACUGACUUGCUAGAGGAUGGAAGAGAGAAGCGGAAUUCUCGGAGUAGCGGUAAAAUGCGUAGAUCUCGAGAGGAACACCGAUGGCGAAGGCAGCUUCUUGGUCCAUUUCUGACGUUGAGGCACGAAAGCGUGGGGAGCAAACAGGAUUAGAUACCCUUNUANUC
Molecule: ribosomal RNA, 465 nt
Filed under: uncultured bacterium
Lineage: Bacteria
Description: bacterial SSU rRNA
Rfam family: Bacterial small subunit ribosomal RNA
Source: RNAcentral